RNAcentral lists this ribosomal RNA (465 nucleotides) under Vreelandella stevensii. RNAcentral describes it as "partial 16S ribosomal RNA". It matches the Rfam family "Bacterial small subunit ribosomal RNA", at positions 338 to 795 of the family's 1533-position model. Lineage: Bacteria; Pseudomonadati; Pseudomonadota; Gammaproteobacteria; Oceanospirillales; Halomonadaceae. The record is from RNAcentral.
CCUACGGGGUGCUGCAGUGGGGAAUAUUGGACAAUGGGCGAAAGCCUGAUCCAGCCAUGCCGCGUGUGUGAAGAAGGCCUUCGGGUUGUAAAGCACUUUCAGUGGGGAAGAAAGCCUUGGGGCUAAUACCCUCGAGGAAGGACAUCACCCACAGAAGAAGCACCGGCUAACUCCGUGCCAGCAGCCGCGGUAAUACGGAGGGUGCGAGCGUUAAUCGGAAUUACUGGGCGUAAAGCGCGCGUAGGCGGUCUGAUAAGCCGGUUGUGAAAGCCCCGGGCUCAACCUGGGAACGGCAUCCGGAACUGUCAGGCUAGAGUGCAGGAGAGGAAGGUAGAAUUCCCGGUGUAGCAGUGAAAUGCGUAGAGAUCGGGAGGAAUACCAGUGGCGAAGGCGGCCUUCUGGACUGACACUGACGCUGAGGUGCGAAAGCGUGGGUAGCAAACAGGAUUAGAUACCCCUGUAGUC